Molecule: long non-coding RNA, 501 nt
Filed under: Pan troglodytes (chimpanzee)
Lineage: Eukaryota; Metazoa; Chordata; Mammalia; Primates; Hominidae
Description: long non-coding RNA NONPTRT004104
Source: RNAcentral
CCGGGAGGAAGAGGAGGAGUACAAGGCGGGCGGGCGGGUGCGCAGCGCGAAGAGGCAGCCUCGGCGCUGCCCGGCUCGGCGUCAGCUCAUGAUGCCUCAGAUCUGAUCCGCAUCUAACAGGCUGGCAAUGAAGAUACCCAGAGAAUAGUUCACAUCUAUCAUGCGUCACUUCUAGACACAGCCACCAGACGCAUCUCCUCCCCUUUCUGCCUGACCUUAGGGACACAUCCCACCGCCUCUCUUGACGUCUGCCUGGUCAACCAUCACUUCCUUAGAGAAUAAGGAGAGAGGCGGACGCAGGAAAUCAUGCCACCGACGGGCCACCAGCCAUGAGUGGGUGACGCUGAGCUGACGUCAAAGACAGAGAGGGCUGAAGCCUUGUCAGCACCUGUCACCCCGGCUCCUGCUCUCGGUGUGGCCUGAAGCCUGGAUCCUCCUGGUGAAAUCAUCUUGGCCUGAUAGCAUUGUGAGGUCUUCAGACAGGACCCCUCGGAAGCUAGU